This 121-nucleotide small RNA is filed under the name Marmota monax (woodchuck). The record is from RNAcentral. Lineage: Eukaryota; Metazoa; Chordata; Mammalia; Rodentia; Sciuridae.
GCCGGGAAUGGUGGCCAUGCCUGUAAUCCCAGCUCAGGAGGCCGAGCCAGGAGAAUUGUGAGUUCAAAGUCAGCCUCAGCAAAGGUGAGAUGCCAAACAACUCAGUGAGACCCUGUCUCUA